This 495-nucleotide ribosomal RNA is filed under the name Shouchella clausii. Its description in RNAcentral is "partial 23S ribosomal RNA". It matches the Rfam family "Bacterial large subunit ribosomal RNA", at positions 1353 to 1841 of the family's 2925-position model. The record is from RNAcentral. Lineage: Bacteria; Bacillati; Bacillota; Bacilli; Caryophanales; Bacillaceae.
UCCUGAGGAAGGCUCGUCCGCUCAGGGUUAGUCGGGACCUAAGCCGAGGCCGAAAGGCGUAGGCGAUGGACAACAGGUUGAUAUUCCUGUACCACCUCGUAUUCGUUUGAACGAUGGGGGGACGCAGAAAGGUAGGGUGAGCGCGCCGCUGGCUGUGCGCGUCGAAGCAUGCGAGGCUGGAACAUAGGCAAAUCCGUGUUCCAUAAGGCUGAGCUGUGACCGUGAAGGACCUUCGGGUCCGAAAUCCCUGAUCCUCCGCUGCCGAGAAAAGCCUCUAGUGAGAAUACAGGUGCCCGUACCGCAAACCGACACAGGUAGGCGAGAAGAGAAUUCUAAGACGCUCGGGAGAACUCUCGUUAAGGAACUCGGCAAAAUGACCCCGUAACUUCGGGAGAAGGGGUGCUCUAGUAGGGUUAACCGCCCGAGAGAGCCGCAGUGAAAGGAUCCAAGCGACUGUUUAGCAAAAACACAGGUCUCUGCGAAGCCGUAAGGCGA